This 170-nucleotide small RNA is filed under the name Mus spicilegus (steppe mouse). Its description in RNAcentral is "Metazoan signal recognition particle RNA (ENSMSIG00000005891.1)". The stretch from base 37 to 151 matches the Rfam family "Metazoan signal recognition particle RNA", at positions 118 to 231 of the family's 299-position model. From Rfam's summary of the family: The signal recognition particle (SRP) is a universally conserved ribonucleoprotein. Lineage: Eukaryota; Metazoa; Chordata; Mammalia; Rodentia; Muridae. The record is from RNAcentral.
GCCUGCCGCGCACUAAGCCAAUUGGUGGCUAUACUAUGUUUGGCAUCAAUACGGUAACCUCCCAGGAGCGGAGGGACCACCAGGUUGCCUAAGGAGGGGUGAACCAGCCCAGGUCGGAAACGGAGCAGGUAAAAUCUCCCAUGCUGAUCAGAAAAUUGAAAUGAAAACUU